GAAAUGUGAUAAGUAAUGUGAAUUGCAGAAUCCAGUGAAUCAUCGAAUCUUUGAACGCAUCUUGCGCUCCUUGGCAUUCCGAGGAGCAUGCCUGUUUGAGUGUCAUUAAACCUAUCAAAACACUUUUUUUCAAGUAAGAAAAGUGUUUUGGACUUUGGGAGUAUUGUGCUGGUCUGUUUGACCCAGCUCUCCUCAAAAGCAUUAGCUUUGGAGACCCAUCAGUGUGAUAAUUUAUUUGUUUACACUGGCUUCUCCUUUUAAAUAUGCACCCUUUGACCUCAAAUCAGGUAGGACUACCCGCUGAACUUAA
This 310-nucleotide ribosomal RNA is filed under the name Amanita vaginata. RNAcentral's name for it is "eukaryotic LSU rRNA". The stretch from base 1 to 105 matches the Rfam family "5.8S ribosomal RNA", at positions 50 to 154 of the family's 154-position model. Lineage: Eukaryota; Fungi; Basidiomycota; Agaricomycetes; Agaricales; Amanitaceae. The record is from RNAcentral.